UGGGGAAUAUUGCACAAUGGGGGAAACCCUGAUGCAGCGACGCCGCGUGAACGAAGAAGGUAUUCGUAUCGUAAAGUUCUGUCCUAUGGGAAGAUAAUGACAGUACCAUAGAAGAAAGCUCCGGCUAAAUACGUGCCAGCAGCCGCGGUAAUACGUAUGGAGCGAGCGUUGUCCGGAAUUAUUGGGCGUAAAGGGUACGCAGGCGGUUUAAUAAGUCGAAUGUUAAAGAUCGGGCCUCAACCCCGCAAAGCAUUGGAAACUGAUAAACUUGAGUAGUGGAGAGGAAAGUGGAAUUCCUAGUGUAGAGGUGAAAUACGUAGAUAUUAGGAGGAAUACCAGUAGCGAAGGCGACUUUCUGGACACAAACUGACGCUGAGGUACGAAAGCGUGGGGAGCAAACAGG
Molecule: ribosomal RNA, 403 nt
Filed under: bacterium
Lineage: Bacteria
Description: partial 16S ribosomal RNA
Rfam family: Bacterial small subunit ribosomal RNA
Source: RNAcentral